RNAcentral lists this small nuclear RNA (107 nucleotides) under Catagonus wagneri (Chacoan peccary). Lineage: Eukaryota; Metazoa; Chordata; Mammalia; Artiodactyla; Tayassuidae. The record is from RNAcentral.
GUGUUCACUUUAGCAGCACAUAUACUAAAAUUGAAACAAUGAAGAGAAGAUUAGCAUGGCCCUUGCGCAAGGAUGAUACGCAAAUUCAUGAAGCGUUCCAUAUUUUU